Non-coding RNA from Peromyscus maniculatus bairdii (prairie deer mouse), 388 nucleotides. The record is from the annotation of a RefSeq genome assembly. Lineage: Eukaryota; Metazoa; Chordata; Mammalia; Rodentia; Cricetidae.
AUCACCUCACAGCACAAACAUGAAGGCUCCCUCUCAGCUUUUGGUGUUCCUGCUAUUCUGGAUCCCAGGCAUGAUAUGUGACAUCCAGAUGACCCAAUCUCCAUCCUUGGCUGCAUCUCUAGGAGACAGAGUCACCAUUAAUUGCAGGGCAAGUGAAGGAAUUGGUAAUUUGUUAGCCUGGUAUCAGCAGAAACCAGGAAGCUCUCCUAGACUCCUCACAUACCAUACAGCCAACACGGAAUCUGUAGUUUUUGCAAAGUACAGUGGCAGUGGAUCUGGGACAGAUUUUACACUUAUCAUUAGCACCAUGGAGCCUCAAGAUGUUGCUACUUAUUACUGUCAGCAGUAUAAGAGUACCCCUCCCACAGUGAUACAAGCCAUGACAUAA